This 425-nucleotide ribosomal RNA is filed under the name uncultured bacterium. Its description in RNAcentral is "partial 16S ribosomal RNA". It matches the Rfam family "Bacterial small subunit ribosomal RNA", at positions 354 to 796 of the family's 1533-position model. The record is from RNAcentral.
GUGGGGAAUCUUAGACAAUGGGCGCAAGCCUGAUCUAGCCAUGCCGCGUGAGCGAUGAAGGCCUUAGGGUUGUAAAGCUCUUUCGUGGGGGAAGAUAAUGACUGUACCCCAAGAAGAAGCCCCGGCUAACUCCGUGCCAGCAGCCGCGGUAAUACGGAGGGGGCUAGCGUUGUUCGGAAUUACUGGGCGUAAAGCGCACGUAGGCGGACUGGAAAGUCAGGGGUGAAAUCCCGGGGCUCAACCCCGGAACUGCCUUUGAAACUCCCAGUCUUGAGUUCGAGAGAGGUGAGUGGAAGUCCGAGUGUAGAGGUGAAAUUCGUAGAUAUUCGGAGGAACACCAGUGGCGAAGGCGGCUCACUGGCUCGAUACUGACGCUGAGGUGCGAAAGCGUGGGGAGCAAACAGGAUUAGAUACCCCAGUAGUCC